CCUACGGGUGGCAGCAGUGAGGAAUAUUGGUCAAUGGACGAGAGUCUGAACCAGCCACGCAGCGUGAAGGAUGACUGCUCUAUGGGUUGUAAACCUCUUUUAUAUGGGAAUAAAUUGUUCCACGUGUGGGAUUAUGUAUGUACCAUACGAAUAAGGAUCGGCUAACUCCGUGCCAGCAGCCGCGGUAAUACGGAGGAUCCGAGCGUUAUCCGGAUUUAUUGGGUUUAAAGGGAGCGUAGGUGGAUUGUUAAGUCAGGUGUGAAAGUUUGGGGCUCAACCGUAAAAUGGCAGUUGAUACUGGCAGUCUUGAGUACAGUAGAGGUAGGCGGAAUUCGUGGUGUAGCGGUGAAAUGCUUAGAUAUCACGAAGAACUCCGAUGGCGAAGGCAGUUCACUGGACUGCAACUGACACUGAGGCACGAAAGUGUGGGUAGCAAACGGGAUUAGAUACCCUUGUAGUC
Molecule: ribosomal RNA, 460 nt
Filed under: uncultured bacterium
Lineage: Bacteria
Description: partial 16S ribosomal RNA
Rfam family: Bacterial small subunit ribosomal RNA
Source: RNAcentral